RNAcentral lists this ribosomal RNA (253 nucleotides) under uncultured bacterium. Its description in RNAcentral is "partial 16S ribosomal RNA". It matches the Rfam family "Bacterial small subunit ribosomal RNA", at positions 524 to 776 of the family's 1533-position model. The record is from RNAcentral.
CACGUAGGGCGCAAGCGUUGUUCGGAAUUACUGGGCGUAAAGCGCGUGUAGGCGGCUCUGCAAGUCGGGUGUGAAAUCCCAUGGCUCAACCAUGGAAGUGCACUCGAAACUGCAGGGCUAGAGUCCUGGAGAGGAAGGUGGAAUGCUUGGUGUAGAGGUGAAAUUCGUAGAUAUCAAGCGGAACACCGGUGGCGAAGGCGGCCUUCUGGACAGUGACUGACGCUGAGACGCGAAAGCGUGGGGAGCAAACAGG